AUUACCAUAGUUUAAUUGGUUAAAAUUUUUGUUUUGCAUACAAGCGUUAUUGGUUCAAGUCCAAUUGGUUCCA
This 73-nucleotide transfer RNA is filed under the name Vannella simplex. RNAcentral describes it as "tRNA-Ala". It matches the Rfam family "tRNA". Rfam says of the family: Transfer RNA (tRNA) molecules are approximately 80 nucleotides in length. The record is from RNAcentral. Lineage: Eukaryota; Discosea; Flabellinia; Vannellidae.